This 256-nucleotide unclassified non-coding RNA is filed under the name uncultured fungus. RNAcentral's name for it is "partial contains small subunit ribosomal RNA, internal transcribed spacer 1, and 5.8S ribosomal RNA". The stretch from base 1 to 73 matches the Rfam family "Eukaryotic small subunit ribosomal RNA", at positions 1759 to 1831 of the family's 1831-position model. Lineage: Eukaryota; Fungi. The record is from RNAcentral.
CCAAACUUGGUCAUUUAGAGGAAGUAAAAGUCGUAACAAGGUCUCCGUUGGUGAACCAGCGGAGGGAUCAUUAAAGAGUUAUAACAACUCCCAAACCCCUGUGAACAUACCUCAUGUUGCCUCGGCAGGUCGCGCCUCGGUGCCCUGCCGGCGGCCCACGAAACUCUGUUUAGCAUUAAAUUCUGAACUUAUAACUAAAUCAGUUAAAACUUUCAACAACGGAUCUCUUGGUUCUGGCAUCGAUGAAGAACGCAGC